Long non-coding RNA from Drosophila subobscura, 464 nucleotides. RefSeq lists it as uncharacterized. Lineage: Eukaryota; Metazoa; Arthropoda; Insecta; Diptera; Drosophilidae. The record is from RefSeq and is a predicted model, not a curated record. The transcript has 2 exons.
AUAUAUGUUAUAGCCUAUGCUCCAUAGCUUUCAUUCCACUUCAUUUACAAACUGAAAAUUGUCGAGCUCCGGUGGAAACAAAAAUUUGUCCCGCAAAGAAAUUAAACAAUUAAAAACUCAACCAUGAGUACCACCACAAAUCAGAUGGAACAGCGGAUCUGUCAGCUUAUUCAGAACCAAAGCCAGCCAAUUAACUAUGAACAACUAUUAGCUCUAAUCGAAGAAGGACAAAACGAGCCGCUGAAUACACAGGACAUAACCAAAAUAAAUGCCGCAUUGCGAGCUGGCCUGCGCCGUGGCUUUUUUCAACGCGUUCGUGGAAAGUUUUCUAUGCCUCCCUGCCUUCAAUAAGUACGAGAAGAUGAAGCUCAAACUAAAUCAAAAUUAAAGCGGAAUAAGCUGAAUAUAUUUGUUGAGAUAUGAAGUCAAAAAAUAGAACUGUUUAACUAAAAUGUAGCUACCCC